Molecule: ribosomal RNA, 213 nt
Filed under: uncultured bacterium
Lineage: Bacteria
Description: partial 16S ribosomal RNA
Rfam family: Bacterial small subunit ribosomal RNA
Source: RNAcentral
CCUGGAAACAGAUGCUAAUACCGGAUAACAACACUAGACGCAUGUCUAGAGUUUAAAAGAUGGUUCUGCUAUCACUCUUGGAUGGACCUGCGGUGCAUUAGCUAGUUGGUAAGGUAACGGCUUGCCAAGGCAAUGAUGCAUAGCCGAGUUGAGAGACUGAUCGGCCACAUUGGGACUGAGACACGGUCCAAACUCCUACGGGAGGCAGCAGUC